AACGCACCUUGCACCCUUUGGCAUUCCAAAGGGUAUGCCUGUUUGAGUAUCAUGAAAUUCUCAACUCCCCCUCGGAUUCCAUCUGUAGGGUGAGCUUGGACUUGGAGGUUUCUGCUGGCGUUCGCCGGCUCCUCUUGAAAUCAUUAGCUUUGAGUUGAUCUCGAUGGCUCGACCGGUGUGAUAAACAUCUACGCCGAUUUGUGCCGUCCUGAGCGACGACGUCGGAGACGCUCUGGCUUAUAACCGUCUUCACCAGAGGACGACGCCCUGAACUUUUGAUCUCAAAUCAGGUAGGACUACCCGCUGAACUUAA
This 313-nucleotide unclassified non-coding RNA is filed under the name uncultured Odontia. RNAcentral's name for it is "sequence contains ITS2". The record is from RNAcentral. Lineage: Eukaryota; Fungi; Basidiomycota.